GACAAAAUGAAUAAAAGUCCAUGUUAUAACUUCCAAUUCCUCUAUAUAAGCCUCAAUUCUCUAAGCACGAGGAGUGAAUUGAAAUUAGAGCACUCACUUACCCUCCAAUAACUAAAGUAUCGGUUUCUUCUCUUGUUAAUUUGGAAUUAUGUUGAUGGAUUUGAAAUGGUUGUUUUCAAUUCCAAUCAGUGUUUCUUUUGCUUCAACAUUGUUCACCCUAUUGGCUAUAGUAGGAGGCUGGUUGAUAUAUCUGUAUGGGCCGUAUUGGAGGGUAAGGAAGGUUCCGGGCCCACCAUCUCUGCCGCUGGUAGGACACCUUCCCUUGCUUGCUAAGUAUGGCCCAGAUAUGUUCUCAAUCCUUGCCAAGCAAUAUGGCCCAAUCUACAGAUUUCAUAUGGGAAGACAGCCCUUAAUAAUUGUAGCAGAUGCAGAGCUUUGUAAAGAGGUUGGAAUUAAAAAAUUUAAAGACAUUCCAAACAGAAGUACUCCCUCUCCCAUUAAAGCUUCACCACUUCACCAAAAGGGUCUAUUCUUCACCCGGGAUACACAAUGGUCUACUAUGAGAAACACUAUACUGUCGGUAUACCAACCAUCACACCUAUCCAGAUUAGUGCCAACAAUGCAAUCAUUCAUAGAAUCUGCCACUCAAAAUCUUGACUUUCAAAAACAAGAUCUUGUCUUUUCUAAUUUAUCUCUUAAACUUGCAACCGACGUGAUUGGACAAGCAGCCUUUGGUGUCAACUUCGGUCUUUCUAAGCCUCAUUCGGAUUCUAAUGAUAUCAAGAGUGUUACUGUUAAUAAGGACGACUUAAUGAGUGCAAGUACUAGUAAUGAAGUAUCAGAUUUCAUCAAUCAACACAUAUACUCAACAACUCAACUUAAGAUGGAUUUGUCAGGUUCCUUCUCCAUCAUACUUGGUUUACUUGUUCCAAUACUUCAAGAACCAUUUAGACAGAUUUUGAAGAGAAUACCGGGCACUAUGGACUGGAAAAUCGAGCGAACUAAUAAGAAAAUUAGUGGUCGUCUUGAUGAGAUUGUGGAAAACAGAAUGAAUGAUAGGACGCGAAGUUCAAAGGAUUUCUUGUCGCUUAUACUAAACGCUAGAGAAUCAAAAGCUGUUUCAGAAAAUGUGUUCACACCUGAAUACAUCAGUGCUGUUACUUAUGAACAUUUGCUUGCUGGGUCAGCAACCACUUCUUUUACACUGUCUUGUGUUGUCUAUUUGGUUGCUGGACAUCCAGAAGUUGAGAAAAAGAUGCUUGAAGAGAUUGAUGGGUUUGGUCCAAUGGAUAAGACACCUACUUCUCAAGAUCUUCAUGACAAGUUCCCUUAUCUUGAUCAAGUCAUCAAAGAGGCAAUGAGGUUUUAUACUGUAUCACCAUUAGUUGCAAGAGAAACAUCAAAUGAAGUAGAGAUUGGAGGUUACCUUCUACCAAAGUUUUGUACAAGCAGGGGACUUGGGUUUGGUUAGCUCUCGGAGUUCUAGCAAAAGAUCCCAAAAACUUUCCAGAGCCAGAAAAGUUCAAACCAGAAAGGUUUAACCCUAACUGUGAAGAAAUGAAAAGAAGGCACCCUUAUGCUUUUAUACCAUUUGGAAUUGGUCCUCGGGCUUGCAUUGGUCAGAAAUUUUCCCUACAAGAGCUCAAGCUUUCUCUGAUUCAUUUAUACAGGAAAUACUUGUUUAGGCAUUCUCCUAAUAUGGAAAACCCUUUGGAAUUAGAAUAUGGCAUAGUCCUCAACUUCAAGCACGGUGUCAAACUCAGUGUCAUAAAAAGAACAAUCAAGAACUGCUAAAUAAACCGUUAAGAUUGUACUUAUACUCGUCAAAGGAUGAAUUAUAAACUAAUACUAGAAAUAAGUAUGAUUAGAUAUGUAAGAAUGAAAAAUCAUGUUAUAUAACAAUUGAUGCAAGUUUUUGAAAGAGAAA
Molecule: non-coding RNA, 1927 nt
Organism: Cicer arietinum (chickpea)
Lineage: Eukaryota; Viridiplantae; Streptophyta; Magnoliopsida; Fabales; Fabaceae
Source: RefSeq, a predicted model, not a curated record